Oenanthe melanoleuca is the source of this 5154-nucleotide long non-coding RNA. RefSeq lists it as uncharacterized. The record is from RefSeq and is a predicted model, not a curated record. NCBI's taxonomy places the organism in Eukaryota, Metazoa, Chordata, Aves, Passeriformes, Muscicapidae. The transcript is spliced from 3 exons.
GGAGCUGCCUUCGCCCGGGAAGAUCCGAAGAGCUGCUAGAGGAAAAUAAGGCAGGCAUCCCGAGAAAGUCUCCAGCUUCCCAAAGAGAAGGAAAACAGAGAGCAGUGACCGCUUCAGGCAACGGCAACAAACUGCAUUGGGAUCACGCAAGAGAUGUAGAGACCUCACCCCCUCCCAAAUGAGCAUCUCAUCACCAGACUGGGUUCUCCACCAGCUCCCAUGUCCAUAGACAUGACAAUGCAGGUAUCCAAUGGAUUAAGCUGUACCCUGAAAGGUAUGUUACCAUCCCACCAAGCUAUUGACAAUGAACCCCCACAAAAUAUCCUAACUUGGAUGGGAUCCACAAGGAUCAUUGAAGUCCAGCUACAACCCUAUAACCCUUCAACUUCACAGUCUACAAAAACAGAAGAAGCAACCAAAAAGCAGCAUUAGGCCCCACCCAGAACAAGUCUUAGAACCAGUGAUAGAUUUUGCUUAAAACAGGGUUUUGUGAAAGAAAGGCAACAAGUGAUGCAGCAAGUAGAGCUGCAAGCACCCCUUUUACCACCUACACUUCAGGAAAGAGCUAGCUCUCUCCCCCCAUUAGGGAGGACAAGAACAGGUUGAAUGCAGUUUAAUAACAUUUAAACCUUUAUUUCAGUGCACAAGUAAAGCAGGUCCUGGCUUCACAAAAGCACAUCUUGGUUUAACUAAUUAAUUUGAUAAUCCGCUAUUUGCAAUCCUCAGGAGACAUUCAGCAUCUAAAGCAAGUAAUUACCACUAAGUGGCAACCUCUUUGUGAGGCCCAGUCUGAUUAGGGGAAAAAUUUCUUAAGCCAGAAAUAUAAUCACGGUGUGAUUUCCCAGAAGGACUGAAGGAGAGACUACAUAACAACAGCUGGUCACGCUCACCAUCUGAAGCAACAGAAGCAACUCAAUUACUAAGUCUCCAGCUACAAUUCAAGAUGUUGUUCAGUGCCACGUGCAACCAUGGCCUGCAGUUAACCAUCAGGAAGUCUUACAGGAGGUAUUUUGUAGGGACAGAAAUCAGGAAGGUCCCACUUGGGGGGCAAGAAGGAAGAGGAAUUUUUUUUUUUUUUUUUUUAAAUUCACACAUCAGGCUGGCUGCAGCACAUAUUGAAACAGGUGAUUCUCCCCCUCUGUCCUCAUGAACCACAUAUUGGAGUACUGCAUCCAGGUCUGGGGUUCUCAGCACAGGAAUGAUAUGGACCUGUCAGAGCAGGCCCAGAGGAGGCCACAAAGAUGAUCCUAGGGCUAGAGCACCUCUUCUAUGUCAACAGUCUGAGAAAGUUAGAAGUGUUCAGCCUGCAGCAGAGAAGGCUUUGAAGAGAUCUUAGAGCCCCUUCCAGUACUUAAAGGAAGCUUACAAUAAAAAGAGAAAAGUUUUUAUGCAGGCAGAGAGUGAUAGGACAAGGGGGAAUGGUUUUAAGAUACAAGAGGAGAGAUGUAGAUUGGGAAGAAAUUCUUUACUCAAAGGAUAGUGAGGCACUCGCUCAGGUUGCCCAGAAAAGCUGUGGAUGCCCGUCCCUGGAAGUGUUCAAGGCACAGUUGGACAGGGCUUUGAGCAACCUGGUCUAGUGGGUGGCAUUCCUGCCUAUGGCAGGAAGGGUGGAACUUGGAGAUCCCUUAUAACCCAAACCAUUCUAUGAUUCUAAGUCCAAGCUCAUCAUGUGCAUUCCCACAGAGAAGCAAUGCCAGCAGUGGAAUAUCAGCUUUACAGCCUCUGCCCAGAUACGAAGGCACACCUUGAUGACACACAGUGUCUUCCCAGACAAGCCAGCUGGCCUCAAUACAUGCAGAGUACUUGCUGGUUAGACUAGCUCUGGGCAUCCCCAAGUGCCCAGGGUUUUGGCUCAGCUGGCAUCAGUCACUGCCAGAGUCCACAGGACAAAGUCCUGCUUCUGCACUCAUCCAAGACACCCAUCUCAGCAGCUUUGGUCUCCUUUAACUUUGGGCCAGGAAGGGGACACACUGAGAUGCCUCCAGGCCUUAUGAAGUGGCUAUGCUGCACACCAGUCUUGGGUUAAUGCUGUUACAACAGGCUCUAGAGACUUCUCCUUGAACUCACGAAUGCAGCCAGCACAGGUAGGAGAAGGGCUUGGAUGGAAACCCAGCCUCCUGCCCAAUCAGACACCAUCUCAGUGCACCCACACCCUGAGGGUGUUCCUCACUGCAGUGGGCUCCCCUCUUGGGUGCUGGAUCUCAUCAUUCUGGUACUUUGAGUACUAGGCAGGUGCACUGGUUGGCAGGAUGUGACCAUGCUGGAGAAAAUAUUCCAACCCUGCAAAAGAGCCUAUAGGACACAGAGCCAGGCAGGGACACACCUCUGUGAAUGUGGAGUCAAGAGAGAUUAAAUGGUUUAAGAGGAGCUACUUGUCUGUCUCCCUGGAGUUUAGGCAUUGCCUGCCUUCCCUGAGAACAAAGCUCUCUUGGCUUAGAAACCCAGCUGCGGUUUCAGGACUGCUGCUUCAAAACUCACCACAGUCUCUGAACAGGAGAACAGGUCAGCUUUUUCUGUAGAGCAGCCUAAAAGCAAUCCAUCUCUCUCCAGAUCCCAAGUAUUUAAUGGCACAGAAGAGUCAUCUGUUUACCUUCCCUCCUGGCAGUGAUGUUGCAUGCCAUUUAGCCCCACAGCACAUGUUUACUGUACUCUCCGAGACAGCACGCUCACCUCUGAGCUAGACGUGCCAGCGGGCACCCACACCCUUCCUGCCCCGGCCCCUCUCCCACAGACAGGGGAGUCAUGGAACACAGGGUCACACACUACUGCAAAUUCCAUCCUCACUCACAGCUGCCAGGGCCUGCUCCUCUUUCCAGGUCUGCUUGGCAGAGUAAGGGAUGAGUAAGAGUAAGAGUAGGGAUGACAGACAGACAUCUCCUUCUAUGGCUCCACACCACCAGGAGCCCCCCACUUGUGUCCCUGCUCUGUGCCCAGUUCAUGCCAGAGCAACCAGUGCCCGUGAGACACCUGCCUAGCCUGCACCAAGAGAAAUAAGUACAUCCCUUGGAGGAUGCCACUGAGAACCAGCCAUUACCAGACAAGGGCUGGGACACAUUUCUGAUCUGGAGACCCAUCCCUUCUCUUCCCAAAACCAACCCAAUUCCAACUAUGCCCUGCUAGGAGGCAGGGCUUACAGCUCUAACCAGGGGAGGAAGGACCCCCUCUCCAACCACUGGCUGCAGUCUCUGCUCCACAGUUUGAAAAGUCAGGGCCAGCUCCCAGGUCCUACCUGGGGUGACAGUCAGGGACUCUGAUCCAGGAGCUUUGAUCCCCUGAACUGCUAUUCCCCUGGCUGCACACUCUGCCAAACUCUCAUCCAGUCCCUCCAAUCCUCCCAAACCCCACACUUACAGCCAGCUUUUGCAGAGCCUCUACCCAGCAGAUUCCAGCAGAUCUUGCAAACCAUUCUCCCAUGGCAGGAUGCCUCCAGAGAGAAGGAAAGCUCUCACCUCCCUGCAGUUUGCUUCUCCAGAGCAGGCAGGCAGGCAAGCAGCUGAGUUAGCUCAGCACUCCCUGGGGCAGAGCAAUAGCCCCAAGAUGAAUCUCCAGCUCCAGUCAGUGCCUUAGAGAGCAGCAUGGGCGUUCCCUGGGACCAGCUGUUGUGGUGCCUGUCACAGCUGGGCUGUGCUGCCCGCUGAACUCAAGCCGUCCCACUGUGAGUCCUCCAGGUGCUUCUCAAAGUACCCUUAAUCUGACUGGUAUUUCCAACAGGGGAAUGACAACCUGUUCAGGUCUGAGUGUUUCCCCAGAUACAGAAGAGACCUGCUUUGUCCCCCUCUAGUCUUGCCCAGCUGGUAGCAAAGGGGAAAGAUCUCAGUCCUCCAGCAGCUCUAAAAGGCUUCAGGCUGAUGUUCAAGUCCCUUUGCAGUAGGCAAAGGGCAGUUUGGGGUCAGGGUCUUCUCCCCAGGGGAGUCUAGAGCCAACUCUGCUGACUUCAGAUUCAGAGCACUGAGAAGGUUCCUUAUAAGCCAGGGAAGGGCUGGUUUGACAGGGAUAGGAGCAGUCUGCCAUGGAACAUCCACAGCUGGCAAUUAGAGGAAUGAACCUCAGGGAAUGCCUACAGCAAGGAUGCCAGGCAGGAACACAGAGCAGGUGGGACACAGGGCACAGGAGGAGGUGGUGUGAUGAGGAUCAUAGCUGCUGUACCAGGGAUCCUUUGCUCCCAGUGUGGGCUAGAGGCAGAGGAAGCACCAGGAAGCAGCGCAUGACUGACAUGAUGAGAGCCUGGUUCCAGCAAGGGUGGACACCUCCCCUCCCUGGCACCAGCACUGGAAAGCACCAGCAGGAAAUGGUGUGAUUCGAUGCCAUCAGCAGCAAUAACAAUGUUAUUGCCUCCUGAAGGAGAUGAGCAGCUUCCCCUUCAGACAGGCAGGGCAGAGGGCUCCUGCCUCCUGCCAGCGAUCUGUCCUCUCUCCCUCUUACUUGCGCUUCUUCCAGAAUAUUGCUGCUCUCUUCCUCCUUGAACCAGGAUCUCUGCUCCCAAAUCGAGACAGAGUAAGGGCAGCUACAGAGCAGCCUUGGGAAGGUUCGAGGAGGCUUAGACCCUUCUGGGGUUCAAACGGGACUGUUAGACUGGGGCCAUGAGCAUUUGGAGGAGGGACAAGUGGGUCCAGAGCUUCCUCCCCACCGCAGAAACACACAGGUCCGAGUGUGUGUUCUUUGCUGCUUUCCUUUCUUUAUAGAAUCAUACAAUGUUAAGAAGUUGGAAUGAACCUUAAAGACAAUUCUGUCCCAAUCCCUCUUGCCAUGAGCAGGGACGUCUCCCACCAGACCAGACUGCUCAAGAUUUAUCUAACCCGGCUUUGAACACUUCCAAGGUUGGAAGUGUUCGAACAACCUCCCUAGGCAACAUCUUCCAGAUGUCUCACCACCCUCACAGUAAAAGAAGGAUUUAGUUUUGGGCCAUAUUUUGCAGCCCUGCCUGGUUUUGCUGCCGGCUGACACGAAUGUGUCUGAGAAAGUGUGAGCUGGUGACUAACUGGAUCAGGAGAGCAGGAGGGAGCUGGGCAGCAGUUAGGGAUGGCACACCAAAGGAGGCCUGAAACUACCACAUGUAUGUUGUCUUUUCCCUUAAGACUACCCCGUCACGGAAUCCCCGGGGCCUUUGAGCCGCGCUUCACCGCAGCCGCUCCGCCGGGGGCUCCCUGAGGGGGC